AUGGGGGAGGAGGUAAACAGGAAAUGCUUGCACAGCCUUCUCACUGAAGAAUUCAUGAAGCCAUGUUGUAAUUGCAAUACACUCUUUACAGGUGGAUUCUACUGCUACCCUCACUUCAAGAGUGGUUGUUUCUGUUUUCAAGUUGGGCCGCCUUUUUUGCUUGGCAAAGUAGACAUCAUUGCUUCCCUGGUUCCAAAGAUGAUGGAGUUUCUGCACUUCGUAAAGAAUUUCUCAAGUUUGUGUUGCAUAUCUUCUGAAAAAAAGUUCCUCAAGGACUAGAGCUCAACAGUGAUUCACCUACCAUGUUCUGUCAUUUAGUAAUUCCAUGGAUAUACAAAGGAAACCAUCAGAGAACUGUGAGCUGGGUGGUUUAUGCCCCUGCAUGUGUGUGUCCGUAUACCUGCACAUACACAGACACCAGAAAAGUACCAAUUCCACUUGGCAAAAGAGUGGGAGAUGUGUUAGACUUCUCUUGAAUUGGCUGAAAUUUUUUGUAUGUUUAUACCGAAGAGGUCUGAGUAUAGAUUUCAGCUCCAGAUAUAAUGAACACAGAUUUAGAUUGUUCAGACCCCUUUGUUUGGAGUGCAUUUAAGGCUGUUUGAUGUAAUCAAACCACAUUGUCAGAACAAACAUUGUAGUUCGUUUUUACACUUUUCAUUUUAAAAUUCUUGACAGUAGUUAAAUUGGUAAACUUCAUGGUUUUGAUAAAUAUUUGUAUUAAGAAAUAAUGUAUAUCUGUGCAUUUGAAACUGAAAUAUAAAGGAACCUUGAAGUUCAAGCCAAACUUGAUGCUAAGAUUCAUUUCUCUCCUUGAUAAUCUGUAAAAGAAAUUUUGCUUAAAAUUGGGCUUGACCUUGCUGAACUGGAUGAAUCCAAGCUAUUUUUGAGGACACAUGGUUGCCGUUUGGAAUUUUUAAUUGCCAAUACAUACAACUGUAAAGCAAUCUUGGUGUUUUAAGGAGAACAUCUAAAGCAAGUUAAAAUUGGGAGUGAGGUGAACAUUGUGUUGGUGUUGUGUGUUCUGUCCUGAGUAUGAGUGCUCAAGACUUUUUCAUCAUGACUAAUACAUUUACCACAGAGGUCUAAUCUGAUUCUAGUCUAAUCUGAUUCAUGUUUCUUUCUAAAUGGGAUACCCCGUGAAAGGAUCACAUUUCCAAAUCCAUAUCUCUUCAGUUUGUUUGAUUUCUGUGUGUGUACCUCAAAAAAAAAACCACCCUAAUUUUGUGCAGACUGAUGGAUGUUAGAAUAAAAGACCUUGGCAAAAGGGAUGUAUGGUGUGC
RNAcentral lists this long non-coding RNA (1280 nucleotides) under Anser cygnoides (Swan goose). Its description in RNAcentral is "lncRNA (ENSACDG00005013117.1)". The record is from RNAcentral. Lineage: Eukaryota; Metazoa; Chordata; Aves; Anseriformes; Anatidae.